UACGGAGGGUGCAAGCGUUAUCCGGAUUCACUGGGUUUAAAGGGUGCGUAGGCGGGUAGGUAAGUCAGUGGUGAAAAUCUUCGAGCUUAACUCGGAAACUGCCUUUUGAUACUAUCUAUCUUGAAUAUUGUGGAGGUAAGCGGAAUAAUGUCAUGUAGCGGUGAAAUGCUUAGAUAUGACAUAGAACACCUAUUGCGAAGGCAGCUUACUACGCAUAUAUUGACGCUGAGGCACGAAAGCGUGGGGAUCAAACAGG
This 256-nucleotide ribosomal RNA is filed under the name uncultured bacterium. RNAcentral's name for it is "partial 16S ribosomal RNA". It matches the Rfam family "Bacterial small subunit ribosomal RNA", at positions 524 to 776 of the family's 1533-position model. The record is from RNAcentral.